GUGAGCGCGCGGUUGGGGUGUCGCAGAGGGGCAAGCC
This 37-nucleotide ribosomal RNA is filed under the name Narcine brasiliensis. Its description in RNAcentral is "partial 5.8S ribosomal RNA". Lineage: Eukaryota; Metazoa; Chordata; Chondrichthyes; Torpediniformes; Narcinidae. The record is from RNAcentral.